Molecule: ribosomal RNA, 253 nt
Filed under: uncultured bacterium
Lineage: Bacteria
Description: partial 16S ribosomal RNA
Rfam family: Bacterial small subunit ribosomal RNA
Source: RNAcentral
UACGUAGGUGGCGAGCGUUGUCCGGAUUUACUGGGCGUAAAGAGCGCGCAGGCGGUCGUACAAGUCGCGUGUGAAAGCCCCUGGCUCAACUGGGGAGGGUCACGCGAUACUGUUCGACUUGAAGGCAGGAGAGGGAAGUGGAAUUCCCGGUGUAGUGGUGAAAUGCGUAGAUAUCUGGAGGAACACCGGUGGCGAAGGCGACAUCCUGGACCGGUAUUGACGCUGAGGCGCGAAAGCCAGGGGAGCAAACGGG